This 253-nucleotide ribosomal RNA is filed under the name uncultured bacterium. RNAcentral describes it as "partial 16S ribosomal RNA". It matches the Rfam family "Bacterial small subunit ribosomal RNA", at positions 524 to 776 of the family's 1533-position model. The record is from RNAcentral.
UACAGAGGCCUCGAGCGUUAAUCGGAGUUACUGGGCUUAAAGGGUGCGUAGGCGGUUCCGUAAGUGCCUUGUGAAAUCCCAUGGCUUAACCAUGGAAUUGCUCGGUAGACUGCGGAACUUGAGGUCGGUAGAGGUCGCUGGAACUCUAGGUGGAGCGGUGAAAUGCGUAGAUAUCUAGAGGAACGCCAAAGGUGAAGACAGGCGACUGGGCCGAUUCUGACGCUGAGGCACGAAAGCGUGGGUAGCGAACGGG